RNAcentral lists this ribosomal RNA (625 nucleotides) under uncultured Russulaceae. RNAcentral's name for it is "LSU rRNA". It matches the Rfam family "Eukaryotic large subunit ribosomal RNA", at positions 47 to 649 of the family's 3401-position model. The record is from RNAcentral. Lineage: Eukaryota; Fungi; Basidiomycota; Agaricomycetes; Russulales; Russulaceae.
UAAGCGGAGGAAAAGAAACUACAAGGAUUCCCCUAGUAACUGCGAGUGAAGCGGGAAAAGCUCAAAUUUAAAAUCUGGCGUGCCUUUGGCCGUNCGAGUUGUAGUCUGGAGAAGUGUUUUCUGUGCUGGACCGUGUACAAGUCCCUUGGAACAGGGCGUCAUAGAGGGUGAGAAUCCCGUCUUUGACACGGACUACCAGUGCUCUGUGAUGCGCUCUCAAAGAGUCGAGUUGUUUGGGAAUGCAGCUCAAAAUGGGUGGUAAAUUCCAUCUAAAGCUAAAUAUAGGCGAGAGACCGAUAGCGAACAAGUACCGUGAGGGAAAGAUGAAAAGCACUUUGGAAAGAGAGUUAAACAGUACGUGAAAUUGCUGAAAGGGAAACGCUUGAAGUCAGUCGCGUCUGCCAGGACUCAGCCUUGCUUUUUUGCUUGGUGCACUUUCUGGUAGAUGGGCCAGCAUCAAUUUUGACCGUCAGAAAAAGUUGGAGGGAAUGUGGCACCUUUCGAGGUGUGUUAUAGCCUUUCAUCACAUAUGACGGUUGGGAUUGAGGACCGCAGCACGCCUUUAUGGCCGGGGCUUUGCUCACGUAACGUGCUUAGGAUGCUGGCUUAAUGGCUUUAAGCGACC